This 399-nucleotide ribosomal RNA is filed under the name Triticum aestivum (bread wheat). Its description in RNAcentral is "partial small subunit ribosomal RNA". The record is from RNAcentral. Lineage: Eukaryota; Viridiplantae; Streptophyta; Magnoliopsida; Poales; Poaceae.
AUGCCCAAUGGGGCACAAGCCUCGACUGAGGAAGGCGAGGCGAGCGGGGGCGAGGCGAGCGGGGGCGAGAGCCAGGAAGAGGAGGAAUGGGACUCGGAAGCUGCAGGGGAUGAUGACGACGACGAUGAUGAUGAAGGUGAUGAAGAUGACAUCGAGGACGAGGAAGAAGAGGAGGAGGAGGUCGUUCCACCGCGCUCAGAAAGGCGGUCGAAGCUUGUCCACGACCCUUCGACCGAACGUGGUAAGGGGGUUGCGACCGCCACUCAGUCGACCAAGCGCCCUCGGACCACCUCUCCGGCGCCGACUGAAAAGGCGCCGAAGCAGCCCAGGGCGGCCUCAUCGAAGCCGACCAAGCUCCUGCCGAAGAUGAAGGUGUCCAUCCCCACCAUAUCAGGGUAA